RNAcentral lists this ribosomal RNA (673 nucleotides) under Salmonella enterica subsp. enterica serovar Paratyphi B var. L(+) tartrate +. RNAcentral's name for it is "partial 23S ribosomal RNA". It matches the Rfam family "Bacterial large subunit ribosomal RNA", at positions 2259 to 2925 of the family's 2925-position model. Lineage: Bacteria; Pseudomonadati; Pseudomonadota; Gammaproteobacteria; Enterobacterales; Enterobacteriaceae. The record is from RNAcentral.
UGGUGGGUAGUUUGACUGGGGCGGUCUCCUCCUAAAGAGUAACGGAGGAGCACGAAGGUUGGCUAAUCCUGGUCGGACAUCAGGAGGUUAGUGCAAUGGCAUAAGCCAGCUUGACUGCGAGCGUGACGGCGCGAGCAGGUGCGAAAGCAGGUCAUAGUGAUCCGGUGGUUCUGAAUGGAAGGGCCAUCGCUCAACGGAUAAAAGGUACUCCGGGGAUAACAGGCUGAUACCGCCCAAGAGUUCAUAUCGACGGCGGUGUUUGGCACCUCGAUGUCGGCUCAUCACAUCCUGGGGCUGAAGUAGGUCCCAAGGGUAUGGCUGUUCGCCAUUUAAAGUGGUACGCGAGCUGGGUUUAGAACGUCGUGAGACAGUUCGGUCCCUAUCUGCCGUGGGCGCUGGAGAACUGAGGGGGGCUGCUCCUAGUACGAGAGGACCGGAGUGGACGCAUCACUGGUGUUCGGGUUGUCAUGCCAAUGGCACUGCCCGGUAGCUAAAUGCGGAAGAGAUAAGUGCUGAAAGCAUCUAAGCACGAAACUUGCCCCGAGAUGAGUUCUCCCUGAGACUUUAGGUCUCCUGAAGGAACGUUGAAGACGACGACGUUGAUAGGCCGGGUGUGUAAGCGCAGCGAUGCGUUGAGCUAACCGGUACUAAUGAACCGUGAGGCUUAACCUUA